UACGUAGGGGGCGAGCGUUGUCCGGAUUUAUUGGGCGUAAAGGGCGUGUAGGCGGUUUUUUAGGUCAGAGGUGAAACCCUGCAGCUCAACUGCGGGCCUGCCUCUGAAACCGGGAGACUUGAGUGCUCUAGAGGGCAGUGGAAUUGCCGGUGUAGCAGUGAAAUGCGUAGAGAUCGGCAGGAACACCAGUGGCGAAGGCGACUGCCUGGGGAGUAACUGACGCUGAGGCGCGAAAGCUGGGGGAGCAAACGGGAUUAGAUACCCCGGUAGUCCCAGCCGUAAACGAUGAGUGCUAGGUGUAGGGGGUAUCGACCCCCCCUGUGCCGGCGUUAACGCAAUAAGCACUCCGCCUGGGGAGUACGGCCGCAAGGUUG
This 374-nucleotide ribosomal RNA is filed under the name uncultured prokaryote. RNAcentral's name for it is "partial 16S ribosomal RNA". It matches the Rfam family "Bacterial small subunit ribosomal RNA", at positions 524 to 896 of the family's 1533-position model. The record is from RNAcentral.